Molecule: ribosomal RNA, 2911 nt
Filed under: Pseudomonas aeruginosa
Lineage: Bacteria; Pseudomonadati; Pseudomonadota; Gammaproteobacteria; Pseudomonadales; Pseudomonadaceae
Description: bacterial LSU rRNA
Rfam family: Bacterial large subunit ribosomal RNA
Source: RNAcentral
GUUAUAUGGUCAAGUGAAGAAGCGCAUACGGUGGAUGCCUUGGCAGUCAGAGGCGAUGAAAGACGUGGUAGCCUGCGAAAAGCUUCGGGGAGUCGGCAAACAGACUUUGAUCCGGAGAUCUCUGAAUGGGGGAACCCACCUAGGAUAACCUAGGUAUCUUGUACUGAAUCCAUAGGUGCAAGAGGCGAACCAGGGGAACUGAAACAUCUAAGUACCCUGAGGAAAAGAAAUCAACCGAGAUUCCCUUAGUAGUGGCGAGCGAACGGGGAUUAGCCCUUAAGCUUCAUUGAUUUUAGCGGAACGCUCUGGAAAGUGCGGCCAUAGUGGGUGAUAGCCCCGUACGCGAAAGGAUCUUUGAAGUGAAAUCGAGUAGGACGGAGCACGAGAAACUUUGUCUGAACAUGGGGGGACCAUCCUCCAAGGCUAAAUACUACUGACUGACCGAUAGUGAACCAGUACCGUGAGGGAAAGGCGAAAAGAACCCCGGAGAGGGGAGUGAAAUAGAACCUGAAACCGUAUGCGUACAAGCAGUGGGAGCCUACUUGUUAGGUGACUGCGUACCUUUUGUAUAAUGGGUCAGCGACUUAUAUUCAGUGGCAAGCUUAACCGUAUAGGGUAGGCGUAGCGAAAGCGAGUCUUAAUAGGGCGUUUAGUCGCUGGGUAUAGACCCGAAACCGGGCGAUCUAUCCAUGAGCAGGUUGAAGGUUAGGUAACACUGACUGGAGGACCGAACCCACUCCCGUUGAAAAGGUAGGGGAUGACUUGUGGAUCGGAGUGAAAGGCUAAUCAAGCUCGGAGAUAGCUGGUUCUCCUCGAAAGCUAUUUAGGUAGCGCCUCAUGUAUCACUCUGGGGGGUAGAGCACUGUUUCGGCUAGGGGGUCAUCCCGACUUACCAAACCGAUGCAAACUCCGAAUACCCAGAAGUGCCGAGCAUGGGAGACACACGGCGGGUGCUAACGUCCGUCGUGAAAAGGGAAACAACCCAGACCGCCAGCUAAGGUCCCAAAGUUGUGGUUAAGUGGUAAACGAUGUGGGAAGGCUUAGACAGCUAGGAGGUUGGCUUAGAAGCAGCCACCCUUUAAAGAAAGCGUAAUAGCUCACUAGUCGAGUCGGCCUGCGCGGAAGAUGUAACGGGGCUCAAACCACACACCGAAGCUGCGGGUGUCACGUAAGUGACGCGGUAGAGGAGCGUUCUGUAAGCCUGUGAAGGUGAGUUGAGAAGCUUGCUGGAGGUAUCAGAAGUGCGAAUGCUGACAUGAGUAACGACAAUGGGUGUGAAAAACACCCACGCCGAAAGACCAAGGGUUCCUGCGCAACGUUAAUCGACGCAGGGUUAGUCGGUUCCUAAGGCGAGGCUGAAAAGCGUAGUCGAUGGGAAACAGGUUAAUAUUCCUGUACUUCUGGUUACUGCGAUGGAGGGACGGAGAAGGCUAGGCCAGCUUGGCGUUGGUUGUCCAAGUUUAAGGUGGUAGGCUGAAAUCUUAGGUAAAUCCGGGGUUUCAAGGCCGAGAGCUGAUGACGAGUCGUCUUUUAGAUGACGAAGUGGUUGAUGCCAUGCUUCCAAGAAAAGCUUCUAAGCUUCAGGUAACCAGGAACCGUACCCCAAACCGACACAGGUGGUCGGGUAGAGAAUACCAAGGCGCUUGAGAGAACUCGGGUGAAGGAACUAGGCAAAAUGGCACCGUAACUUCGGGAGAAGGUGCGCCGGCUAGGGUGAAGGAUUUACUCCAUAAGCUCUGGCUGGUCGAAGAUACCAGGCCGCUGCGACUGUUUAUUAAAAACACAGCACUCUGCAAACACGAAAGUGGACGUAUAGGGUGUGACGCCUGCCCGGUGCCGGAAGGUUAAUUGAUGGGGUUAGCGCAAGCGAAGCUCUUGAUCGAAGCCCCGGUAAACGGCGGCCGUAACUAUAACGGUCCUAAGGUAGCGAAAUUCCUUGUCGGGUAAGUUCCGACCUGCACGAAUGGCGUAACGAUGGCGGCGCUGUCUCCACCCGAGACUCAGUGAAAUUGAAAUCGCUGUGAAGAUGCAGUGUAUCCGCGGCUAGACGGAAAGACCCCGUGAACCUUUACUGUAGCUUUGCACUGGACUUUGAGCCUGCUUGUGUAGGAUAGGUGGGAGGCUUUGAAGCGUGGACGCCAGUUCGCGUGGAGCCAUCCUUGAAAUACCACCCUGGCAUGCUUGAGGUUCUAACUCUGGUCCGUAAUCCGGAUCGAGGACAGUGUAUGGUGGGCAGUUUGACUGGGCGGUCUCCUCCUAAAGAGUAACGGAGGAGUACGAAGGUGCGCUCAGACCGGUCGGAAAUCGGUCGCAGAGUAUAAAGGCAAAAGCGCGCUUGACUGCGAGACAGACACGUCGAGCAGGUACGAAAGUAGGUCUUAGUGAUCCGGUGGUUCUGUAUGGAAGGGCCAUCGCUCAACGGAUAAAAGGUACUCCGGGGAUAACAGGCUGAUACCGCCCAAGAGUUCAUAUCGACGGCGGUGUUUGGCACCUCGAUGUCGGCUCAUCACAUCCUGGGGCUGAAGCCGGUCCCAAGGGUAUGGCUGUUCGCCAUUUAAAGUGGUACGCGAGCUGGGUUUAGAACGUCGUGAGACAGUUCGGUCCCUAUCUGCCGUGGACGUUUGAGAUUUGAGAGGGGCUGCUCCUAGUACGAGAGGACCGGAGUGGACGAACCUCUGGUGUUCCGGUUGUCACGCCAGUGGCAUUGCCGGGUAGCUAUGUUCGGAAAAGAUAACCGCUGAAAGCAUCUAAGCGGGAAACUUGCCUCAAGAUGAGAUCUCACUGGGAACUUGAUUCCCCUGAAGGGCCGUCGAAGACUACGACGUUGAUAGGCUGGGUGUGUAAGCGUUGUGAGGCGUUGAGCUAACCAGUACUAAUUGCCCGUGAGGCUUGACCAUAUAACACCCAAACA